Molecule: ribosomal RNA, 468 nt
Filed under: uncultured bacterium
Lineage: Bacteria
Description: partial 16S ribosomal RNA
Rfam family: Bacterial small subunit ribosomal RNA
Source: RNAcentral
GACGAACGCUGGCGGCGUGCUUAACACAUGCAAGUCGAACGGAAAGGCCCUGCUUUUGUGGGGUGCUCGAGUGGCGAACGGGUGAGUAACACGUGAGUAACCUGCCCUUGACUUUGGGAUAACUUCAGGAAACUGGGGCUAAUGCCGGAUAGGAGCUCCUGCUGCAUGGUGGGGGUUGGAAAGUUUCGGCGGUUGGGGAUGGACUCGCGGCUUAUCAGCUUGUUGGUGGGGUAGUGGCCUACCAAGGCUUUGACGGGUAGCCGGCCUGAGAGGGUGACCGGCCACCUUUGGACCGAGGUACCGGCCCGAACUCCACCGGAGGCAGCAGUGGGGAAUAUUGCACAAUGGGCGGAAGCCUGAUGCAGCAACGCCGCGUGCGGGAUGACGGCCUUCGGGUUGUAAACCGCCUUCGCCUGUGACGAAGCGUGAGUGACGGUAAUGGGUAAAGAAGCACCGGCUAACUACGUG